GCUAUAAAUAGUGAGGAUAUCCUGGACGACGGUUAUUCACUCAAAUAACACCAUAGAUAGUUUAAUUUCUUCUCUACGCAAACAUGAAACUGCUCUUUGCAUUGCUCUCCAUUUUCUCACUUAUCAUGUUCUCAAGCACUGUCAAUGCAAGAAAAGAUGUGGCUGAAUAUUGGAGUAGAGAAAUGAAAGAUCAGCCAUUGCCAGAAGCAUUACAGGACUUGAUGGAGCUUCUCCAACCUCAUCUACCUCCACAAAAGAGAAAGUCAAUUGUCAUACAACUGAAAGUCACAAUGAUGCCACAAUUAAAGCACAGAAGCCAUAUUUUGACAAAAAAAUGACGCUUCAAUUUACCAUGUAGAGCUCAAAAAAGAAGUUUGAGCCGAGGUCUGAUAUCUCUAUAUAUCACAAUGAUGUAGAGCUCAAAGAGCUGUUUGAGCCGAGGCCUGAUAUCUCUAUAUAUCACAAUGAUGCAACACUCAAAAAUCAAAUGUCAUAUUCUGAGACAAAAAAAUGAUGUAGAGAUCAAAGAGGAGUUUGACCCGAGGCCUAA
Molecule: non-coding RNA, 550 nt
Organism: Jatropha curcas
Lineage: Eukaryota; Viridiplantae; Streptophyta; Magnoliopsida; Malpighiales; Euphorbiaceae
Source: RefSeq, a predicted model, not a curated record